CCUACGGGGGGCAGCAGUGAGGAAUAUUGGUCAAUGGUCGCGAGACUGAACCAGCCAAGCCGCGUGAGGGAGGAAGGUCCUCAGAAUUGUAAACUUCUUUUUUCAGGGAAUAAAGACUGGCACGCGUCCCUGUAUGAGUGUACUUUAAGAACAAGCAUCGGCUAACUCCGUGCCAGCAGCCGCGGUAAUACGGAGGAUGCGAGCGUUAUCCGGAUUUAUUGGGGUUAAAGGGGGCGUAGGGGGGUUGUUACGUCAGCUGUCAAAGCCUGGGGCUCAACCCAGGACCUGCAGUUGAUACUGGCAGACUUGAGUGCAGGAGAGGUAAGCGGAAUGCGUGGUGUAGCGGUGAAAUGCGUAGAUAUCAGGAAGAACUCCGAUGGCGAAGGCAGCAUGCUGGACUGACACUGACGCUGAGGCACGAAAGCGUGGGUAGCAAACAGGAUUAGAUACCCUAGUAGUC
RNAcentral lists this ribosomal RNA (460 nucleotides) under uncultured bacterium. RNAcentral's name for it is "partial 16S ribosomal RNA". It matches the Rfam family "Bacterial small subunit ribosomal RNA", at positions 338 to 795 of the family's 1533-position model. The record is from RNAcentral.